This is a long non-coding RNA of Sphaeramia orbicularis (orbiculate cardinalfish), 147 nucleotides long. RefSeq lists it as uncharacterized. The transcript is spliced from 3 exons. The record is from RefSeq and is a predicted model, not a curated record. Lineage: Eukaryota; Metazoa; Chordata; Actinopteri; Kurtiformes; Apogonidae.
AAUGUGACUGAAGUUCAGACGUGUGUCUACCCUUCGCCGAGAGGCAUGGGUAACCCGCUGAACCCCACUUGUGAUAGGGAUUGGGGAUUGCAAUUAUUUCCCAUGAACGAGGAAUUCCCAGUAAGCAUGGGUCAUGAGCUCGUGUUG